Molecule: long non-coding RNA, 1493 nt
Organism: Panthera uncia (snow leopard)
Lineage: Eukaryota; Metazoa; Chordata; Mammalia; Carnivora; Felidae
Exons: 4
Source: RefSeq, a predicted model, not a curated record
AAUCAAUAAAUGUAAAAAAAAAAUUUGUUUUAAUGCUAGAAAUACUUAAUUUUAAAUGGAUCAUGGGGCGCCUGGGUGGCUCAGUCAGUUAAGCACCCAACUCUUGGUAUUGGCUCAGGUUGUGAUCUCAAGGUCCUGAGAUCGAGCCCCUCGUUGGGCUCCAUGCUGAGCAUGGAGCCUGCUUGGGAUUCUCUCUCCCUCUUUCUCUGCCCCUCCCCCACCUCUCUCUCAAAAUAAAUAGGCAUUAAUAGAUAUAUAAAUAAGUGUGAACCUUCAGGAGUGAUAGCAUUAGAAACUUGGACAAGAAAAUUAAGUUACAGCAUGCUGCUUGGCCUUGCAGUGAAUGACACUUUCAGAUUAUGAUGUCAUAAAUGCCAUGCAAUGGGUUUUGCCUUUUAGAAUCAAUCCGUGGUCAAAUUAUGGAAUAUUCCACUGUGAUUAAAAAACUGAAUAUAAACAUGGACCUUCACAAUGCAAAGGUGAAGGCACAGUUGAUGAGACUUGGGAUGAGCUGCUGGGAAGGGUGACCGGUGCCCAUGUCCUCACCUCACAAAAAAAAAUGCAGAAUCAGGGGGACUGAACAAGAAAUAGAGAUUUCGGUAUCAGGAGGAGUGGGAUGGGGAGAAGAGGAGGGAUAAAAGAAGUUCAGGCUCCAAUCUAUUAUUUCAGAAAUGUCAACAGACAGGAUAUUCAAAAGUCCACUGAAUUUGAGAAAUAAAGAGACAAGGCUACACACGUGUACAGACAUGGGCAUAAUCACCAGAAGAAGAAAAUAUAAAUACAACACAAAUGGUCACUUCUGAGAAGUAAGGCCGAGAACAGGAAGAGGUGGAACACAGAUCUGAGACAAGGGUGCAGGUCGUGCUGACAAAUCAGCCCAGUAUGAUCCUUGAGUGGAUAAUUGAGGUUCAUGUAUGCCAAGUCAAAGCUACAAUCUGCUACCCCAAUUCCCAUGAACCAUUCCAGCACUUCUGAGAAGGACACAAAUCUGUUCCAAGAUGGACGUUCACCCCAUUUCUCAGCUGGUGUAUGGGUGCGGUCACUGGAGAGGGGAAGAGAUGCAUCACCUCCAGGCUGAGGGAGAGGCCAAGAUGACUGCUCAAGGCCCAUACCUCAAGAACAACCAAGUGAAGAUGGGCACCUGGUCUCUGAGACACCGCCCCCCCAAGGAGCACCAUUCUACAUCCGUCAUGGUUUUGAAGGAGGUCACUGAGAGGACAUGACCACUGGCUGACCCACAAGCUGGACCUGGGCAGUGGAAGGUCCUCGUCCCCUCUUCCCCUGUCCUUGGAAUGUACACUCUGCCCGUGUCCCCACAGUGGGGGCCAUUUUCAAGGACACAGUCUUGAGAGAGCAAUGUGUUGUUGAGACUAUCUGGAUGGUAUACAUGAUGGAACCCCAUCAAGGACCCUAUAUAAACUUAAGAGUCUGGUGGAGAUCCAUGUGUCUUGCAGCACCCAAGACAAACCUCAUACAUAAGUUCCCUUAUUAAA